GGUGAACGCUGGCGGCGUGCCUAACACAUGCAAGUCGAGCGGUGCAGUUUGAAGCUUCGGUGGAAAGCUGCAUAGCGGCGGACGGGUGAGGAAAACGUAGGAACGUGCCCCUUGGAGUUGGAUAGCCACGGGAAACUGUGGGUAAACCGACAUAGACUCGAGAGAGUAAAGGCCGAAAGGCGCCAAGGGAGCGGCCUGCGGCCCAUCAGGUAGUUGGUAGUGUAAAGGACUACCAAGCCGACGACGGGUAGCCGGUCUGAGAGGAUGGCCGGCCACAAGGGCACUGAGAGACGGGCCCUACUCCUACGGGAGGCAGCAGUGGGGGAUUUUGGACAAUGGGCGAAAGCCUGAUCCAGCGACGCCGCGUGGAGGACGAAGCCCUUCGGGUGUAAACUCCUUUCUCAGGGAAAAGGAAUGAUGGUACCUGAGGAAUAAGCCCCGGCUAACUACGUG
Molecule: ribosomal RNA, 453 nt
Filed under: uncultured bacterium
Lineage: Bacteria
Description: bacterial SSU rRNA
Rfam family: Bacterial small subunit ribosomal RNA
Source: RNAcentral